GCCAGGCAUGGUGGUGCAUGCCUGUAAUCCCAGCAGCUUGGGAGCCCGAAGCAGGAGGAUCUCGAGUUCAAAGACAGCCUCAGCAAUGGCAAGGUGCUAAGCAACUCAGUGAGAUCCUGUCUUUU
RNAcentral lists this small RNA (125 nucleotides) under Marmota monax (woodchuck). Lineage: Eukaryota; Metazoa; Chordata; Mammalia; Rodentia; Sciuridae. The record is from RNAcentral.